Molecule: ribosomal RNA, 394 nt
Filed under: uncultured prokaryote
Description: partial 16S ribosomal RNA
Source: RNAcentral
CCCUACGGGGUGCGGUAAAUUCAAUGCCUCUGUCCAUAUGGCAGGUCCUGACUCCACGCGUUGUCACCAACCUCGCUCGGGAUGAAAGCGUGCGCAACUCUAACACACGGAUUAUUUGGGUGACUGUGGGUCUCACAGGAUUCAUGAUUGUGUGCGCGAUUGCAGGUUCAUUCUUGCUGGAUCUAUUUGUUCCGUAUUUCAUCCCGAAAUAUAUUGCAGGUAUCCCGGUAAUGACGGUUUGCCUCUGGUUUCCGGUUGUCCAGGCAGCAUUCCUGCCCAUGAAUACCCUUUUUGCCACAGGCAGGCCGUGGCUCUAUGGUCGCAGCGUUAUUGCCGGAAUCAUUGUUUUUCCCUUGGCCACCUAUCUGUUAUACCCUGUCAUUGGCGGGGGGGC